Molecule: ribosomal RNA, 612 nt
Filed under: Coxiella-like endosymbiont
Lineage: Bacteria; Pseudomonadati; Pseudomonadota; Gammaproteobacteria; Legionellales; Coxiellaceae
Description: bacterial SSU rRNA
Rfam family: Bacterial small subunit ribosomal RNA
Source: RNAcentral
GCUGUGUGAAGAAGGCCCUCGGGUUGUAAAGCACUUUCAGUGGGGAAGGAAUUCUCAAGGCUAAUACCCUUUUGAGCGUUGACGUUACCCACAGAAGAAGCACUGGCUAACUCUGUGCCAGCAGCCGCGGUAAUACAGAGAGUGCAAGCGUUAAUCGGAAUCACUGGGCGUAAAGCGCGCGUAGGUGGAUAUUUAAGUCGGAUGUGAAAGCCCUAGGCUUAACCUGGGAAUUACAUCCGAUACUAGGUAUCUCGAGUAUGAUAGAGGGAAGUGGAAUUUCCGGUGUAGCGGUGAAAUGCGUAGAUAUCGGAAAGAACAUCAGUGGCGAAGGCGGCUUCCUGGAGCAAUACUGACACUGAGGCGCGAAAGCGUGGGGAGCAAACAGGAUUAGAGACCCUGGUAGUCCACGCCGUCAACGAUGAGAACUAGCUGUUGGAAAGUUUACUUUCUAGUAGCAAAGCUAACGCGUUAAGUUCUCCGCCUGGGGAGUACGGCCGCAAGGUUAAAACUCAAAGAAAUUGACGGGGGCCCGCACAAGCGGUGGAGCAUGUGGUUUAAUUCGAUGCAACACGAAAAACCUUACCUACCCUUGACAUCCUCGGAACUUGUCAG